AGGCUUGUAGCUCAGUGGUUAGAGCGCACCCCUGAUAAGGGUGAGGUCGGUGGUUCAAGUCCACUCAGGCCUACCA
Molecule: transfer RNA, 76 nt
Filed under: Escherichia coli
Lineage: Bacteria; Pseudomonadati; Pseudomonadota; Gammaproteobacteria; Enterobacterales; Enterobacteriaceae
Also listed under: 3 other names
Description: tRNA-Ile
Rfam family: tRNA
About the family: Transfer RNA (tRNA) molecules are approximately 80 nucleotides in length. Their secondary structure includes four short double-helical elements and three loops (D, anti-codon, and T loops). Further hydrogen bonds mediate the characteristic L-shaped molecular structure. tRNAs have two regions of fundamental functional importance: the anti-codon, which is responsible for specific mRNA codon recognition, and the 3' end, to which the tRNAs corresponding amino acid is attached (by aminoacyl-tRNA synthetases). tRNAs cope with the degeneracy of the genetic code in two manners: having more than one tRNA (with a specific anti-codon) for a particular amino acid; and 'wobble' base-pairing, i.e. permitting non-standard base-pairing at the 3rd anti-codon position.
Source: RNAcentral